ACCAAAAUUUAGGUUUCUUGCUUGUGGAGUUUACCGCGUUUCAUACUUAGUUUUCACUAAGCUCGUCUCUGUGGUACUUUACGGACAUCAUCAUAGUCAAAGACCUUAGACUAGUCCAGUCGUGACGUCUAUUAGCGUCCUAAAUCUUAUUUGUUCAAUUUACACAAACACUACUUGCGUUCCAGCAAGUGCAAGCAUGGACUUUCCUCUACUCAUUGAGCAGCAACUGACCGACAGCGGCUAAAAUUAUAAUUUGAG
Molecule: small RNA, 258 nt
Filed under: Mycoplasmoides pneumoniae M129
Lineage: Bacteria; Bacillati; Mycoplasmatota; Mycoplasmoidales; Mycoplasmoidaceae
Description: Mycoplasma pneumoniae M129 ncRNA
Source: RNAcentral